This is a long non-coding RNA of Gallus gallus (chicken), 340 nucleotides long. RefSeq annotates it as rho GTPase-activating protein 32-like. The record is from RefSeq and is a predicted model, not a curated record. NCBI's taxonomy places the organism in Eukaryota, Metazoa, Chordata, Aves, Galliformes, Phasianidae. The transcript is spliced from 3 exons.
GUGCGUGGAGCUCAUCAACGGAAAAAUUCCUGAGGCCCUCAUCAAUUCAGCACCAAAGCCAGUGCCAAAGAAGUGUGGCAAGCUCAUCAGCUUCCUUCGUUCCUUUGCGAAGGCCCGCCCAAAGAAACCGAAGGAGCGGGAGAUGGAGAAGGAGAAGGAAGGGGUGUUUGGCUGUGACCUGGGAGAGCAUCUUCUCCACUCUGGCUGUGAUGUCCCCCAGGUCCUCCAGAGCUGCGCUGAGUUCAUUGAGCAGCACGGCGUGGUGCAGGGGAUCUACCGCCUGUCCGGCGUGGCGUCCAAGAUCCAGAAGCUACGGUAAGAGUGCUGCAACUGACACAGC